GUGUCAGCAGCCGCGGUAAUACGUAGGGUGCGAGCGUUAAUCGGAAUUACUGGGCGUAAAGCGUGCGCAGGCGGUUAUGUAAGACAGAUGUGAAAUCCCCGGGCUCAACCUGGGAACUGCAUUUGUGACUGCAUGGCUAGAGUACGGUAGAGGGGGAUGGAAUUCCGCGUGUAGCAGUGAAAUGCGUAGAUAUGCGGAGGAACACCGAUGGCGAAGGCGAGCCCCUGGACCUGUACUGACGCUCAUGUACGAAAGCGUGGGGAGCAAACAGGAUUAGAAACCCCGGUAGUCC
Molecule: ribosomal RNA, 292 nt
Filed under: uncultured Delftia sp.
Lineage: Bacteria; Pseudomonadati; Pseudomonadota; Betaproteobacteria; Burkholderiales; Comamonadaceae
Description: partial 16S ribosomal RNA
Rfam family: Bacterial small subunit ribosomal RNA
Source: RNAcentral